UCAGCCUCCCGAGUAGCUGGGACUAUAGGCACCCGCCACCACGCCCGGCUAAUUUUUUGUAUUCACAGUACAGACGGGGUUUCACCGUGUUAGCCAGGAUGGUUUCGAUCUCCUGACCUCGUGAUCCGCCCGCCUCUGCCUCCCAAAGUGCUGGGAUUACAGGCGUGAGCCACCGCGCCCGGUGGAAAGGACACUUUUUUACAGUAUGAGCACUGAAACAAAAAGGCAAAGCAAGGUCUGUUCACCUUCAGCUGAGAACGUGAGGAUUGGUUCAGGAGUACAUGCGCAGGUUUGUCAUAUAAGCAAAUUAUGUGGCACAGAAGUUUGGUGUAUGGAUUAUUUCAUCACCCAGGCCGUUUCUCAGCGUUGGAUGUGCAAGCAGUUUUGAGAGAUGAAGUCAUGACUUCAAGACAAAAAAACAGGUUUGCUUAUUUUGCUACAAACCAAUAAGUUCUUCAGCCAUGCUGCAAAUCCACUGUGUAUCCAGUUCCCAUCUGCGGCCCGCACAUCAUCCCCAUGGGACUUGAGAGCAAGAGGAUCCCACGCAAAUCAUGUUGCUUGCUAUGCUGUGAGUAAAAUGUCCUUUGUCUCUAUCCAGGGCUCCCUGGAGAACUGGCUAAUUCUCGGGCAUGGAAUGAAAAAAUACAAGAUGAACCUGGAGAAGCUUUCUGUGUCAGAAAGUAAGAACGUGCUCAAAGAAUGAUGGGACCAUGUGAAAAGGACAUAGGAGUCUGUUUGAAAGGCAUCCCACUGGCCAAAUAUAGGAUAACUCUGAGGAUAAAAAUGUCAGUAAAGAAUUAUAACCCACUGAAAUAAAAAAUGAUAAAUGGAUAAAUGAAGGCAUUAUUUAUAGGACAAUGACAGCUAAUACAUUUUAAAAGAAAAAUGAGAUACAAGAUCAACAUUUGGCAAACACCAUAAUAAUUAUUUCUGGCAAGAAACAUCCAUGAAAGCUAAAAACUAAUGGAUGCAAAUUGAUGAGAAAGAUAAUAUUUAUAUAACCUCAAAGCAUCUCCUUCAUAAAAUACUUAUUAGUGACAAAGUGAAGAUGGUGACUCUACAAUGGAGGAACCUAGCAGACAGCAUCUUAACCAAGGGAUCAAGAUGGAACAAUUGUGUACUAUAAUGUUCAUUCUCAUAUCAGGCGCUAAGUACACAACAUCACUUUUGUGCUACUCUGCACAAAACCCAUAACUGAAAUCUAACUCUGAGGAAACAUCAGAUAAAAACAAAAUGAACAAUAUUCUUUGCAAUAAGUGAUCUGUGCUCUUCAAAAUGUGAAGGUCAUAAAAGACAGUUCCAGGUCAAAAGAGACCAAAGGUGCACAAUAACUAAAUAAAAAAAGAACCUUAUAUUAGAUUUUGCAGAAGAAACUAUUUUUUGCCCUUUCUUUAAAGAAUAUUAAUGGGAAGUUGGUGAAAUUUGAAUAAAGUCUGUACAUGAGAUGAUAGCAUUAUAUCAAAGUUAAUUUCCUAGUUUUAAUCACUGUCAGGUGUUUAUAUAAGAGAAUUUGUUUUCCAGGAAAUACAAACUGAAUAAUUUAGGAAUAAAGGGAUAUAUCUCCAUAAUUUACUCCUAAAUGACUCAGAAUAUAUAUAUAUAUAUAUAUAUAUGUAUAUGUAUAUACACACACAUAAGUAUGUGUAUGUAUAAAUUUGUUAUAUAUAUAACAUAUGUAUGUGUUAAUAUAACAAAUUUAUAUAUACAUAUGUAUAUAAAUACAAUAUAGAUAUUUUUUAUAUAUAACAUAUCUCUAUCUAUGGAGAGAGAGAGUAAAGAAAAUGUGAAAUGUUAACAUUUGAGGCCUUUAGCAAAGUGUUGACAGAGAUUCUUUGUAUAAUUUUUUUUUUUUUUUUUUUUUUUUUUGAGAUGGAGUCUCGCUGUGUCACCCAGGCUGGAGGGCGGUGGCGUGAUCUCGGCUCACUGCAACCUCUGCCUCCCAUGCUCAAGCAAUUCUCCUGCUUCAGCCUCCUGAGUAGCUGGGAUUACAGGCACAAGCCACCAUGCCCGGCUAAUUGUUGUAUUUUUAGUAGAGAUGGGGUUUCACCAUGUUGCCCAGGCUGAUCUUGAACUCCUGGGCUCAAGUGAACCACCCGCCUUGGCCUCCUAAAGUUCUUUGUAUAAUUUUUGCAACUUUUUAGUAUGUGUGAAAUAAUGUUUUCUAAAAAUGUUUAUAAAAUUUCAUUUCUUGCAAAAUUCAGUACUUUUUUUUACUUUUGGAUUUAGUCAAUUGGUUUUAGUAAAAUUUAAAGUAAUUGGAAUUAAAAAGAAUUGUUUCUAAUCCUGGCUGAGCACAGGCUUGAUAAUUUAAUCUCUCUGAGCUCCAAAGACAUAUAAUUGCAAUAUUAAUAUAUAUACACUUAUUUUCCUCAUAUACUUAAUACCUUUAUAUAGCAAACAUAGAUUGAAUCCUGACUUGUUUUUAAAUGAAAAGUUUACGGCAGGAAAUUGAAUAGAGAGAUCUGAUUAUAACCUCAAACUGUAAUUCUUAAUCUCUGGUUCAUGACAUACUAAUCCAAAGUACUGCAAGUGACUAUUUCCACAAAUAAUUAAAGUAAAAUUUUAACUCAUAACAUUUUUGCAGAGUAGAACAUGGUUAUUGUCAUACUAAUAUUAUUGUGUUUUGGUAGAUUUUCCUGAGUUGGGGAGAUAGAGUUGGAUUAUGGCCAGGACACUGUGCCUUGUACCGGCAGUUGAUGGUCCCAUCUGGGAACCACCUGUCAUUAAUAAAAGCAGUAUGCAUGAAUUACUGCAGUACUUUAUGUCCCUGUAAAUAUUAGGUUUCAUAAAUAUAUAAUUGUAUGCAUGAGAAGGAGUGCAUCCAUAUUUGAACAUCAUCUGUCAUGAAUUGUAUGAGGAAAUAACAUUUAAAAAUUAUUGCUCCAAAAAUGCAAAUGGUUUGAAGACACCAUAACUUAUGGUUCAUAAAUGUGUUCAUAACUGAACAAGGUUUAUGUGGGACAUUUCAGUAUUUGUAACUUAUAGAAGUAAAAACUGAUAAAUCUUGCUGUUUUAUCAUUUACAGAUAAAAUAAUUUUGAGAAAGAAAACAUUUUGGAGAUAAAUAUAACUACUACAUUUCCUAGAAGUAGUUUUGGCUCAUUGGAGAUAAUGUUUCUAUAAUAACUGUAAACAACCACAUUGGAUUUGAUGAGCAUACUACUGCUGCAAAGCAUUGUGCAAAGGAGCACUCAGCUCCUUUAAAUUAAUUGCAUUUGUAUAAAUGGAAUUGGUUUGGUCAAAGGCUGUCUUUUAAUGAAUGAGGUUUUAUAUUCAAGAGUGAACAUAAUCCCUUGGUUCAAGAGUCAAUGAAAUGAAAAAGUGAUUGAUUCACCAAAUUAGGGCUGAAUUUACUUUUGUAUUUUUUAUAG
Molecule: long non-coding RNA, 3370 nt
Filed under: Homo sapiens (human)
Lineage: Eukaryota; Metazoa; Chordata; Mammalia; Primates; Hominidae
Description: HSALNT0115311
Source: RNAcentral